RNAcentral lists this ribosomal RNA (891 nucleotides) under uncultured Sebacinales. RNAcentral's name for it is "eukaryotic LSU rRNA". The stretch from base 353 to 891 matches the Rfam family "Eukaryotic large subunit ribosomal RNA", at positions 1 to 542 of the family's 3401-position model. The record is from RNAcentral. Lineage: Eukaryota; Fungi; Basidiomycota; Agaricomycetes; Sebacinales.
GAUCUCUUGGCUCUCGCAUCGAUGAAGAACGCAGCGAAAUGCGAUAAGUAAUGUGAAUUGCAGAAUUCAGUGAAUCAUCGAAUCUUUGAACGCACCUUGCACCCUUUGGUAUUCCGAAGGGUACGCCCGUUUGAGUGUCAUUGUAAUCUCACUACGAUCGACUUUGGUCUUUUGGUAUGUGGACUUGGAUGUUGCCGUCAAUGUCUACGGCUCGUCUGAAAUGCUUCAGUGUACCCCGCUUUGCGGCGUAUUCGGUGUGAUACAUCUUCACCGGAGUUGAUCCUUUUGGGGUCGCGUCUGUAAUGUGUGGCUCUAUGCUUCCAACCGUCUCUCGAGACAAUCUCUGACAAUUUGACCUCAAAUCGGGUGGGACUACCCGCUGAACUUAAGCAUAUCAAUAAGCGGAGGAAAAGAAACUAACAAGGAUUCCCCUAGUAACGGCGAGUGAAGAGGGAAAAGCUCAAAUUUUGAAUCUGGUGUCUUUGACUCCCGAGUUGUAAUCUAGAGAAGUGUUUUCCGCGUCGGACCGUGCACAAGUUCCCUGGAACGGGGCGUCAUAGAGGGUGAGAAUCCCGUAUAUGGCACGGACUGCCGAUGCUCUGUGAUACACUCUCAACGAGUCGAGUUGUUUGGGAAUGCAGCUCAAAAUGGGUGGUAAAUUCCAUCUAAAGCUAAAUAUUGGCGAGAGACCGAUAGCGAACAAGUACCGUGAGGGAAAGAUGAAAAGCACUUUGGAAAGAGAGUGAAACAGUACGUGAAAUUGUUGAAAGGGAAGCGUUUGAAGUCAGUCGUAUCUGGCGGGAUUCAGCUGGGCUUUUGCCCGGUGUACUUUUCGUCCGAUGGGUCAGCAUCAAUUUCGAUCGGGGGAAAAAGAUGUGGGGAAUGUGGCUG